RNAcentral lists this ribosomal RNA (253 nucleotides) under uncultured bacterium. RNAcentral describes it as "partial 16S ribosomal RNA". It matches the Rfam family "Bacterial small subunit ribosomal RNA", at positions 524 to 776 of the family's 1533-position model. The record is from RNAcentral.
UACGUAGGGUGCAAGCGUUGUCCGGAAUUAUUGGGCGUAAAGAGCUCGUAGGCGGUCUGUCGCGUCUGCUGUGAAAACUCGGGGCUUAACCCCGGGCCUGCAGUGGGUACGGGCAGACUAGAGGGCGGUAGGGGAGACUGGAAUUCCUGGUGUAGCGGUGAAAUGCGCAGAUAUCAGGAGGAACACCGGUGGCGAAGGCGGGUCUCUGGGCCGUAACUGACGCUGAGAAGCGAAAGCAUGGGGAGCGAACAGG